ACCAUGAGGGUGGAACCAUGAUGAUGGAUCCAUGAGGAUGGAACCAUGAGGAUGGAACCAUGAGGGUGGAACCAUGAGGGUGGUACCAUGAGGGUGGAACCAUGAUGAUGGAACCAUGAGGGUGGUACCAAGGGAAUGGAACCAUGAUGAUGGAUCCAUGAGGAUGGAACAAUGGGGAUGGAUCCAUGAGGCAGCCUGAGGUUAGAUCUUCAACACUACUGACCAAACACCAUCACUCUGGCCCUAGCAUGUGUGUGUUAACGUGUUUUAACGUGUGUGUGUGUGUGUGUGUGUGUGUGUGUGUGUGUGUGUGUGUGUGUGUGUGUGUGUGUGUGUGUGGUAUCGUGGUGUGAAAAAUAAUUGUUACUUUUUUUGCAAUUUAAAAACGAUUAAAAGUUGCCGGGGACAACAUUUCCCUGGACCCUAGGCUACUGAAAAUGUUCCCGGACCCUAGGCUACUGAAAAUGUUCCCGGACCCUAGGCUACUGAAAAUGUUCCCGGACCCUAGGCUACUGAAAAUGUUCCCGGACCCUAGGCUACUGAAAAUGUUCCCAGACCCUAGGCUACUGAAAAUGUUCCCAGACCCUAGGCUACUGAAAAGGCUACUGAAAAUGUUCCCAGACCCUAGGCUACUGAAAAGGCUACUGAAAAUGUUCCCAGACCCUCGGCUACUGAAAAUGUUCCCUGACCCUAGGCUACUGAAAAUGUUCCCCGGACCCUAGGCUACUGAAAAUGUUCCCCGGACCCUCCGAUUUACAAAUUAAUCAGUGUGUGUGUGUGUGUGUGUGUGUGUGUGUGUGUGUGUGUGUGUGUGUGUGUGUAUUAGAAGUGUUGGGUCCUUCCUGGUAUGAAAAAGGGUGAAAGGUCACGAACCCGGGUUUGGGCAGAAUAGAAGCGUUGGUUUCUAUUAUUGAUGUUACUAUGUGGACCGGACUGGGUCUGUGUUUUUUAUUUUAUUUACCACAACUAGAACCCGUGGAACCGUCUAGACGUGUUGUUUCCUUGUGAUGAGAUUGCUGUGGAACAGGAUUAUUAUUAUUAUUGUUAUUGUUAUUAUUAUUAUGCAUCUGAUCAUCUAUUACUCUAAAUGACGACGAGCAAUAAAGUUGAGAUCCUUUUUCAAAUAUAUAUAUUGCAUGUUUUACUAAAAA
Molecule: long non-coding RNA, 1151 nt
Organism: Oncorhynchus tshawytscha (Chinook salmon)
Lineage: Eukaryota; Metazoa; Chordata; Actinopteri; Salmoniformes; Salmonidae
Source: Ensembl